RNAcentral lists this ribosomal RNA (274 nucleotides) under uncultured bacterium. RNAcentral describes it as "partial 16S ribosomal RNA". It matches the Rfam family "Bacterial small subunit ribosomal RNA", at positions 523 to 796 of the family's 1533-position model. The record is from RNAcentral.
AUACGGAGGGUCCAAGCGUUAUCCGGAAUCAUUGGGUUUAAAGGGUUCGCAGGCGGUCAAUUAAGUCAGAGGUGAAAGCCCAUCGCUCAACGAUGGAACUGCCUUUGAUACUGGUUGACUUGAGUUAUACGGAAGUAGAUAGAAUAAGUAGUGUAGCGGUGAAAUGCAUAGAUAUUACUUAGAAUACCGAUUGCGAAGGCAGUCUACUACGUAUAUACUGACGCUGAGGGACGAAAGCGUGGGGAGCGAACAGGAUUAGAAACCCUAGUAGUCC